RNAcentral lists this ribosomal RNA (274 nucleotides) under uncultured bacterium. RNAcentral's name for it is "partial 16S ribosomal RNA". It matches the Rfam family "Bacterial small subunit ribosomal RNA", at positions 523 to 796 of the family's 1533-position model. The record is from RNAcentral.
AUACGAAGGGUGCGAGCGUUAAUCGGAAUUACUGGGCGUAAAGCGCGCGUAGGCGGUUGGAUAAGUCGGAUGUGAAAGCCCCGGGCUCAACCUGGGAAUUGCAUUCGAAACUGUCCGGCUAGAGUAUGGUAGAGGGAAGCGGAAUUCCACAUGUAGCGGUGAAAUGCGUAGAUAUGUGGAGGAACACCAGUGGCGAAGGCGGCUUCCUGGACAAAUACUGACGCUGAGGUGCGAAAGCGUGGGGAGCAAACAGAAUUAGAAACCCUAGUAGUCC